Molecule: ribosomal RNA, 814 nt
Filed under: uncultured bacterium
Lineage: Bacteria
Description: bacterial SSU rRNA
Rfam family: Bacterial small subunit ribosomal RNA
Source: RNAcentral
AGAGUUUGAUCCUGGCUCAGGACGAACGCUGGCGGCGUGCUUAACACAUGCAAGUCGAACGGAAAGGCCCAGCUUGCUGGGUGCUCGAGUGGCGAACGGGUGAGUAACACGUGGGUGAUCUGCCCCUGACUUCGGGAUAAGCUUGGGAAAGGGGGUCUAAUACCGGAUAGGACAAUCGUUUAGUGUCGGUUGUGGAAAGUUUUUUCGGUUAGGGAUGAGCCCGCGGCCUAUCAGCUUGUUGGUGGGGUAAUGGCCUACCAAGGCGUCGACGGGUAGCCGGCCUGAGAGGGUGGACGGCCACAUUGGGACUGAGAUACGGCCCAGACUCCUACGGGAGGCAGCAGUGGGGAAUAUUGCACAAUGGGCGCAAGCCUGAUGCAGCGACGCCGCGUGGGGGAUGACGGCCUUCGGGUUGUAAACCUCUUUCGACAGGGACGAAGCUUUUGUGACGGUACCUGUAUAAGAAGCACCGGCUAACUACGUGCCAGCAGCCGCGGUAAUACGUAGGGUGCGAGCGUUGUCCGGAAUUACUGGGCGUAAAGAGCUCGUAGGUGGUUUGUCGCGUCGUCUGUGAAAUUCCGGGGCUUAACUUCGGGCGUGCAGGCGAUACGGGCAUAACUUGAGUGCUGUAGGGGAGACUGGAAUUCCUGGUGUAGCGGUGGAAUGCGCAGAUAUCAGGAGGAACACCGAUGGCGAAGGCAGGUCUCUGGGCAGUAACUGACGCUGAGGAGCGAAAGCAUGGGGAGCGAACAGGAUUAGAUACCCUGGUAGUCCAUGCUGUAAACGAUGUGUGCUAGAUGUUGGGUAACUUAGU